Molecule: ribosomal RNA, 228 nt
Filed under: Triticum aestivum (bread wheat)
Lineage: Eukaryota; Viridiplantae; Streptophyta; Magnoliopsida; Poales; Poaceae
Description: partial small subunit ribosomal RNA
Source: RNAcentral
AUGAGAGAUUGGUGGGCCGGCAACAUACACAUUCUGUAUGGAUCUACCAAGGCGCUGGCCUCUUUGAUGAUGCUCACAUCAUGGGAGAUUUAGUCAAAACGCAAUGCUAGAGUCUUCCGUAACACGGUCGUCCCUUCGAUGGUUCUCAUUACCAAGAUUAAAGAGGAGGUAUUUCUUUGGGCUUUGGCAGGUGCCAAGCAUUUGGGUAUUGUACUGCCACGACAGUAG